UACGAAGGGGGCUAGCGUUGUUCGGAUUUACUGGGCGUAAAGCGCACGUAGGCGGUUUGUUAAGUGAGAGGUGAAAUCCCAGAGCUCAACUCUGGAACUGCCUUUCAUACUGGCAAGCUAGAGUCCGGAAGAGGUGAGUGGAACUCCUAAGUGUAGAGGUGGAAUUCGUAGAUAUUAGGAAGAACACCAGUGGCGAAGGCGGCUCACUGGUCCGGUACUGACGCUGAGGUGGCGAAAGCGUGGGGAGCAAACAGGG
Molecule: ribosomal RNA, 256 nt
Filed under: uncultured bacterium
Lineage: Bacteria
Description: partial 16S ribosomal RNA
Rfam family: Bacterial small subunit ribosomal RNA
Source: RNAcentral